ACCAUGAGAGUUGGAAAUACCCGAAGCCUGUGAGCUAACUUAAAGAGGCAGCAGUCGAAGGUAGAGCCAAUGAUUGGGUGAAGUCGUAACAAGGUACC
This 98-nucleotide ribosomal RNA is filed under the name uncultured bacterium. RNAcentral's name for it is "partial 16S ribosomal RNA". It matches the Rfam family "Bacterial small subunit ribosomal RNA", at positions 1401 to 1500 of the family's 1533-position model. The record is from RNAcentral.